RNAcentral lists this transfer RNA (80 nucleotides) under candidate division NC10 bacterium CSP1-5. RNAcentral's name for it is "tRNA-Arg". It matches the Rfam family "tRNA". From Rfam's summary of the family: Transfer RNA (tRNA) molecules are approximately 80 nucleotides in length. Lineage: Bacteria; Methylomirabilota (SeqCode). The record is from RNAcentral.
GCGCCCAUAGCUCAGCUGGAUAGAGCGACGGACUACGAAUCCGUAGGUCAGAGGUUCAAAUCCUCUUGGGCGCGCCACCC